AAGCUGGCGGCUGCCUACCAUGCAAGUCGAGCGGGGACAUACGACGGAUAGGAAGUUUUCGGAUGGAAUUGAAGAUGUAUAGUUCUAGCGGCGGACGGGUGAGUAACGCGUGAGCAACCUGUCCCUUACAGGGGGAUAACACAGCGAAAGUUGUACUAAUACCGCAUAAGACCACAGGGAGACAUCUUCCAGGGGUCAAAGGAGCAAUCCGGUAAGGGGUGGGCUCGCGUCCGAUUAGAUAGUUGGUGAGGUAACGGCCCACCAAGUCGACGAUCGGUAGCCGACCUGAGAGGGUGAUCGGCCACAUUGGGACUGAGACACGGCCCAAACUCCUACGGGAGGCAGCAGUGGGGAAUAUUGGGCAAUGGGGGAAACCCUGACCCAGCAACGCCGCGUGAGGGAAGAAGGUUUUCGGAUCGUAAACCUCUGUCCUUGGUGAAGAGGAAGAGACGGUAGCCAAGGAGGAAGCCCCGGCUAACUACGUGCCAGCAGCCGCGGUAAU
This 502-nucleotide ribosomal RNA is filed under the name uncultured bacterium. Its description in RNAcentral is "bacterial SSU rRNA". It matches the Rfam family "Bacterial small subunit ribosomal RNA", at positions 35 to 524 of the family's 1533-position model. The record is from RNAcentral.